Sorex araneus (European shrew) is the source of this 4868-nucleotide RNA transcript. It is a transcript of the gene named ADP dependent glucokinase, with no coding region annotated. The transcript is spliced from 9 exons. NCBI's taxonomy places the organism in Eukaryota, Metazoa, Chordata, Mammalia, Eulipotyphla, Soricidae. The record is from RefSeq and is a predicted model, not a curated record.
GGCGCGGACGCGGGCGGCGGCGGCGGUGGCGGCGCGGCGGGCGCACGGCGGUCCCCAUGGCGCUGUGGCGCGGCUCGGCGUGCGCGGGCUUCGUGGCGCUGGCUGUGGGCUGCAUGUUGCUGCUGGAGCCGCAGCUGCCGGGCUCGGCGCUGCGCUCGCUGUGGAGCUCGCUGCAGCCCGCGCCCGCCCCGCCGGGACCCCGCUCCCCCGAGGGCCGGCUGGCGGCCGCCUGGGACGCGCUCAUAGUGCGGCCGGCCCGGCGCUGGCGCCGCGUGGCCGUGGGGGUCAACGCCUGUGUGGAUGUGGUGCUCUCAGGGGUGAAGCUCUUGCAGGCGCUGGGCCUCAGUCCCGGGGAGGGGAAGGACCACGCCGUCCUGCGAUCUGGCGCCGACCUGGAAGAGGCCUUCCUUCACUUCAUGGGGAAGGGAGCCGCUGCGGAGCGCUUCUUCAGCAAUCAAGAGGCCUUCCACACCAUCGCGCGGGCGGCGUCCGAGUUCCCCGGAGCCCAGCACUAUGUAGGAGGGAAUGCAGCUUUAAUUGGACAGAAAUUUGCAGCCCACUCGGAUUUAAAGGUUCUUCUUUGUGGUCCAGUUGGUCCAAAACUGCACGAGCUUCUUGAUGACAGUGUUUUCGUUCCUCCAGAGUCACUGCAGGAAGUAGAUGAGUUCCACCUCAUUUUAGAGUAUCAAGCAGGGGAGGAGUGGGGCCAGUUCAAGGCUCCCCACGCCAACAGAUUCAUCUUCUCCCAUGACCUCUCCAACGGGGCCAUGAGUAUGCUGGAGGUGUUUGUGUCGAGCCUGGAGGAGUUCCGGCCCGACCUGGUGGUGCUCUCGGGACUGCACAUGAUGGAAGGACAGAGCCUGGAGCUCCAGAGGAAGCGGCUCUUGGAGGUCGUGGCCUCCCUCUCCGACAUCCCCAGUGGCGUUCCGGUUCACCUGGAGCUGGCCAGCAUGACUAACCGGGAGCUCAUGAGCAGCAUCGUGCACCAGCAGGUCUUUCCUGCUGUGACCUCGCUUGGGCUGAACGAGCAGGAGCUGCUGUUCCUCAGCCAGGCGGCGAACGGGCCUCACUCUGCCCUCCCCACCUGGCAUGGUCUCCCCGACGUGGGCAUGGUCAGCGACAUCCUGUUUUGGAUCCUGAAGGAGCAUGGCCGGCGCGAGAGCAGAGUCUCAGAUCUCAGCAGGAUCCACUUCCACACCCUGGCCUACCACAUCCUGGCCACCGUGGACGGGCACUGGGCCAACCAGCGGGCGGCUGUGGCCGCGGGCGCACGCGUGGCGGGGACACAGGCCUGUGCCACAGAGACCCUGGACCCGGGCAAAGUGUCUCUUCGGGCGCCCCAUGAGUUCCUGACUUUCCAUUCCGGGCCCGGCUCCAAGGUCACCCUCAACCCCGACGAGCCUGUCGUGGAAUGGCACCGGGAAGGCAUAAGCUUCUACUUCACGCCCGUGCUGGUGUGUGCAGAUCCCGUGCGGACCGUGGGCCUGGGGGACGCCAUCUCGGCGGAGGGACUGUACUAUUCCGAACUUCGCCCACACUCAUAGGAAGGUGAAGGGGGCAGCUUUUCUCAGGAAGGAGAACUGGCCGGCUUAGAGUUCCGGGAAUGAAGCGAUUUGGAAAAUAGGAUGGAGGACGGCGGGGCCGUCUGUAGAUCUACUUGAAAGAUAGCCAAAGAACUAAGAAAUAGCAGGCGGAACCGUGCCAAAUCCAUUCCAGCCUAUGGACGUUGCAGACCAGUAUUUCCAGUUUUGAUCUAAAUGUAGGUCACUGGAUUCUUUUUUUUUUUCCCCAAUGUUGUAUGUUACAGGGGGAGUUACUUGACCCCCCAGUUUAAGCAGUGUCAGUAUUUUAGGCCACAAUUCUUUACUCUCAAGAGCAUGUCGACUGGAAACAGCACUUCCCUUGGCCGUGCUGGAAGUGGGCCGCCCCCGACACUGGGUGUUGCCUAGAAAGCCUGUUCAGCGUCAGCGUGACAGCACCUCAGGAACACUUCUCAGGCUCCUGUCACACGUCACACUGAGCCACAAGCAAGGAUGAAACCAUCCAUGUGCCUCAUAGCCACUGCAGGGAGGGGACUUCAAGGUGCAGUUGCCGUGGCCUGCCUGCAGGGGGCACUGCCGGCUGAAGGCCAUUGUGCCAUCCAGCCCUGCCUUCUGAGAGGGUGAAAAUUCCCUUAUAGUGAAACUACACAAAAUGUACAGAGUGGGACUUGCACAUACUUCUACCAAUGAGCUACAUCCCUGCUUUCUUAUUUCUUCAUGGCACAAACUAGAAUCUCGAGUAUAAUUAUAAAAGCGGUAAGUGUGAAUUUCCUUACCUUGAUCCUUAUCUCAGGCACAAAAUAUUCAGUGUUUCACCACUAAAUAUGAUACUUACUGCUAUUUUUUUUAAUGACUUGCUUUUUAUUUUUUAUAUUUUGCUCAUACCCGGCGAUGCUCGGGGUGACUCCUGGUUCUGCACUCAGGAACUACUCCUGGCAGUGCUCGGGGGACCAUAUGGGAUGCUGGAAAUCAAACCUGGGUCAGCCACGUGCAAGGCAAACACCCUACCCGCUAUUACUCCAGCCCCCUUACUGCUAUUUCUUAUAGAUGACUUUUAUAAAGUUAAAAAUGUUCACAAGGCCAUAGCAAUAGUAUAGCAGGGUAGGGCCUUGCAUAUGGCUGACUACCUUUGCAUAUGGCUGACCUGGGUUCAAUCCCUGGCAUCCCAUAUGGCCCACCAAGCACCACUAGGUGUGAUUCUUGAACAAAGAUCUAGGAGUAAUCCCGAGCACUGCGGGGUGUGGCCCCCCAAAACAAACCAAAAGUUCCCUUCUGUCCCAAAUUUGGUGAUGGGUUACAAUGGUUUUGUAUGCUUUUUUUGCAUCUUAUGACUUAAUUUUGUUCACACUUGGAAUCCUAGAACGUCCCGACUGGGUGACAGUAACCACAGUAAUACUUAUAAUGUUGCUGGACUUGAUUUUGUCGUGUACUAUGAACUUUCACACCUACAUCCAUGCAAAAUAAUGGUCAUACAAUCUGGGGUGUUCUUGCUCAAAAAAAUUCCUAAAAAUUUUGUAGUGAUUGUGGGUCACACCUGGCUGUACAGUGAUGAAAAUUCAACUGGAGUUGACCAUAUACAAGACAAGUGCCUUAACACCUUACCUGUAGUUGCUGGGCCCCUACAAGUUUUUGUAAUGUCAAAUUUAAGGGCAGCUUUUUUAUUUGUCAGUUAUAUUGUCAGUUCUUUCCUAUUUUGAUUUUGUGCUUUUUUAGCUUAUCAUGUUGAUGCUGUUUUUUAAUUUGUUAGUUAAGCUAUAUUCAAAUGUGAGCCAUCUGUGGUACACACCAGUGUCAAUGUAUGAAGGUAGAAAUCCUUGUCAUCCAUGCUUGUCUACCUUCUAUUUGUUUAAUUUCUCUCUCCUUUCUUUGCUGUUCAUGUGUGAUGACCCAAGUGUUGCACACAACACCUGGCUGUGGUGCAUAACAAGGAUUGCUGAGGUGCACAAAGUGCUCACAUACUUGUCUCUGGUGUGGCUGCACGUCACAGUGCUGGGGGCCACAGGCAGCAGGGCUGCCAGGUUCACACCCAGCACAGGGAUUUGAUCUUGUUACCGUACAAUUACCGGGCAGGCAUUCUAAACCCACACCCCUUUUUAUUCUGAAAGUAGCAUUACUGCUGAAUUUCUCUGUAAGCUAAAUCACACAAGUUUCGAUCUGUUUUCAUUUAGAAUACUUUCUAAUUUCCUUUGCCUUUUUUUUUUUUUUUUUUGCAGUACUGGGGAUUGAACCCAGGACUUAACCCAGGGCAAGGCAAGGAAAUGCUAGAUCUAUCACUGAGCUACAUCCCCGGCCCGUUAAUUCCUCCAAAACUUAAUGCAAAUGUGUUUGAUUCCUAUUAUUUGGAGGUUCCUCAGUAUCUAAAUGCUGUUGUUUCUAAUAUAAUUGGAGUCAGAGAACAUACCUAUAAAAUGUUUUAAUAUUCAUCUAACUUUGAGAUCUAUUUCAUAGCCUAGGUAUGUCAUGCUUGAAUGUGUUAAAAAAUGUACUUGCCAUUAAUGGUACUUUUCGAUACAGGUCAAAGUGAUCCUUCACACAUUUUGUCUGAUCGUAUUAACUGCUAGAAGAAGCUGUAUUUGUAAAUUUAACUGCAGUACAGUCUAUUUGUCUUCAAGUCCUUGGGUCUCUGCUGCAGUCACCACUUCACCAGAGUACACGACUACGUAACAGUAAAGAGCAUGAGCUUUGCGUCUGACCAGGCUUAAGUGCAAGAGACUACCACUUGGAGAAUUUACUUUGCAGUCCCUUUCCCAGAGUGAUUCCGGUGAAUACCCAAGUGACUCCUGCUGCUCCUUUAAACCAGAUUCCACACGCUUACUGGUUAGCGUUUGGGUGUAAUACGUAAACUAGACUCCGCAGCCCGAGUUCCCCUGCUCCGUGUGGCACCCCAGCCUUUCCAAUCAGUCCCUAUUUUCUGUUGAUUUUGUUUCUUCGAUCUCACACAUUCUUUCUCCUCUCUAAGCAGUUUUAUACCCUCAUUAUCUCUCCAUCUAACAAGCACAACAAUGAAAAAAUUUCUGAACAUGUAGAGGAAAACUAAAUGUAUAAUGAAUCCAAGGUGCUUCUGGCAGCACUCACCCAUUUUAUUUCUUGGGGAAACAAGUGGAAAGAGUUUAGCCCUGGACUAGGGGCCAGAGUGAUAGUAUAGCAUGUAGGCAUUUGCCUUGCACGUGGCUAAUCCGGGUUCAAUUCCUGGCAUCCCAUAUGGUUCCCCAAGCACCACCAAGAGUAAUUCCUGAGUGCAGAGCCAGGAGCAACCGCUGAGCAUCACUGGGUGUGACCCAAAAAGUAAAAAAAAUAAAAUAAAAAAAACAGCAGCCAAACUCCAUC